This 253-nucleotide ribosomal RNA is filed under the name uncultured bacterium. RNAcentral describes it as "partial 16S ribosomal RNA". It matches the Rfam family "Bacterial small subunit ribosomal RNA", at positions 524 to 776 of the family's 1533-position model. The record is from RNAcentral.
CACGUAGGGCGCAAGCGUUGUCCGGAAUUAUUGGGCGUAAAGAGCUCGUAGGUGGUUUGUUACGUCUGCUGUGAAAACCUAGGGCUUAACCCUGGGCUUGCAGUGGAUACGGGCAGACUAGAGGUAGGUAGGGGAGAAUGGAAUUCCUGGUGUAGCGGUGAAAUGCGCAGAUAUCAGGAGGAACACCGGUGGCGAAGGCGGUUCUCUGGGCCUGUACUGACGCUGAGGAACGAAAGCGUGGGGAGCGAACAGG